Molecule: ribosomal RNA, 395 nt
Filed under: Ruditapes sp.
Lineage: Eukaryota; Metazoa; Mollusca; Bivalvia; Venerida; Veneridae
Description: partial small subunit ribosomal RNA
Rfam family: Eukaryotic small subunit ribosomal RNA
Source: RNAcentral
AUUCCAGCUCCAAUAGCGUAUAUUAAAGUUGCUGCAGUUAAAAAGCUCGUAGUUGAAUCUCGGGUGCAGGCUUGCGGUCCGUCUCGCGGCGGUCACUGCUCGUCCUGGCCUCCACGCCGGCGUACCGUCCCUUGGUGCUCUUGACUGAGUGUCUCGGGCGGCCGGAACGUUUACUUUGAAGAAAUUAGAGUGCUCAAAGCAGGCCUUGGCCGCCUGCAUAAUGGUGCAUGGAAUAAUGGAAUAGGACCUCGGUUCUAUUUUGUUGGUUUUCGGAGCUCGAGGUAAUGAUUAACAGGGACUGACGGGGGCAUUCGUAUUGCGGCGCUAGAGGUGAAAUUCUUAGACCGUCGCAAGACGAACUACAGCGAAAGCAUUUGCCAAGCAUGUUUUCAUCG